Molecule: unclassified non-coding RNA, 352 nt
Filed under: soil metagenome
Description: partial contains 5.8S ribosomal RNA, internal transcribed spacer 2, and large subunit ribosomal RNA
Rfam family: 5.8S ribosomal RNA (bases 1-120)
Source: RNAcentral
GAUGAAGAACGUAGCGAAAUGCGAUAAGUAAUGUGAAUUGCAGAAUUCAGUGAAUCAUCGAAUCUUUGAACGCACAUUGCGUCCGCCAGUAUUCUGGCGGGCAUGCCUGUUCGAGCGUCAUUACAACCCUCAGGCCCCCGGGCCUGGCGUUGGGGAUCGGCGGAGCCCCCCGUGGGCACACGCCGUCCCCCAAAUACAGUGGCGGUCCCGCCGCAGCUUCCAUCGCGUAGUAGCUAACACCUCGCGACUGGAGAGCGGCGCGGCCACGCCGUAAAACACCCAACUCUUCUGAAGUUGACCUCGAAUCAGGUAGGAAUACCCGCUGAACUUAAGCAUAUCAAUAAGCGGAGGA